RNAcentral lists this long non-coding RNA (307 nucleotides) under Ictidomys tridecemlineatus (thirteen-lined ground squirrel). RNAcentral's name for it is "lncRNA (ENSSTOG00000034594.1)". The record is from RNAcentral. Lineage: Eukaryota; Metazoa; Chordata; Mammalia; Rodentia; Sciuridae.
GCUGGCCCCCCUUUCCUGAAGUGCCAGGCAGGAGGUAAACAGCCUCUUGUGGGCCAGGAGGGAAAGGGCCGACCUUCAAAGGCAGAAGAGUCCUCAUUGCAAAUGCAAUUUUGGUGUCAUUGAUGAGAGAUCUGGGAUUACGAUUUCUGGCCACUUUAACAGACAUUUGGGGAAGGAAACAGAAUAAUUUUGAGGACUCUCCAAAAACCCAAAGAGAAAAAUGGCAGAAGCUCUUCAGCAUCCUCUAAGGAUUGUGGGAAUUCAGGAUGACCUUAUCCACUCUGCUGUGCCACUAGCAACUGGACAG